GAAACGGGUUAAUAUUCCCGUACUUCUUACAAUUGCGAUGGGGGGACGGAGAAGGCUAGGUGGGCCUGGCGACGGUUGUCCAGGUUCAAGUGCGUAGGCUUAAGAGUUAGGUAAAUCCGGCUCUUUCUAAGGCUGAGACACGACGUCGAGCACCUACGGGUGUGAAGUCAUUGAUGCCAUGCUUCCAGGAAAAGCCUCUAAGCUUCAGAUUGUAAGGAAUCGUACCCCAAACCGACACAGGUGGUCGGGUAGAGAAUACCAAGGCGCUUGAGAGAACUCGGGUGAAG
This 287-nucleotide ribosomal RNA is filed under the name Vibrio parahaemolyticus. Its description in RNAcentral is "partial 23S ribosomal RNA". It matches the Rfam family "Bacterial large subunit ribosomal RNA", at positions 1422 to 1709 of the family's 2925-position model. Lineage: Bacteria; Pseudomonadati; Pseudomonadota; Gammaproteobacteria; Vibrionales; Vibrionaceae. The record is from RNAcentral.